This 557-nucleotide ribosomal RNA is filed under the name uncultured bacterium. RNAcentral describes it as "bacterial SSU rRNA". It matches the Rfam family "Bacterial small subunit ribosomal RNA", at positions 102 to 694 of the family's 1533-position model. The record is from RNAcentral.
ACGGGUGCGUAACGCGUGGGAAUCUGCCCCUUGGUUCGGAAUAACCGUUGGAAACGACGGCUAAUACCGGAUGACGACGUAAGUCCAAAGAUUUAUCGCCGAGGGAUGAGCCCGCGUAGGAUUAGCUAGUUGGUGUGGUAAAGGCGCACCAAGGCGACGAUCCUUAGCUGGUCUGAGAGGAUGAUCAGCCACACUGGGACUGAGACACGGCCCAGACUCCUACGGGAGGCAGCAGUGGGGAAUAUUGGACAAUGGGCGCAAGCCUGAUCCAGCAAUGCCGCGUGAGUGAUGAAGGCCUUAGGGUUGUAAAGCUCUUUUACCCGGGAUGAUAAUGACAGUACCGGGAGAAUAAGCUCCGGCUAACUCCGUGCUAGCAGCCGCGGUAAUACGGAGGGAGCUAGCGUUGUUCGGAAUUACUGGGCGUAAAGCGCACGUAGGCGGCUUUGUAAGUUAGAGGUGAAAGCCUGGAGCUCAACUCCAGAAUUGCCUUUAAGACUGCAUCGCUUGAAUCCAGGAGAGGUGAGUGGAAUUCCGAGUGUAGAGGUGAAAUUCGUAGA